GUGGGGGGGGGGCGGGUGGGGGGGUGAUAAGGAGGGUGCAAUGGGUGGUGGGAAUGUGUGGGCGUAAAGCUGGUGGGGGCGGCUUGUUAUGGCGGGUGGGAAAGCCCUCAGGUUAACUGAGGAAGGGCGCCCGAAAGUGGCGAGCUUGAGUACCGGAGAGGAGAGCGGAACACCCGGUGUAGAGGUGAAAUUCGUAGAUAUCGGGUAGAACACCAGUGGCGAAGGCGGCUCGCUGGACGGAUACUGACGCUGAGACGCGAAAGCGUGGGGAGCAAACAGGAUUAGAUACCCCCUGUAGUC
RNAcentral lists this ribosomal RNA (300 nucleotides) under uncultured Haloarcula sp. RNAcentral describes it as "partial 16S ribosomal RNA". The stretch from base 51 to 300 matches the Rfam family "Bacterial small subunit ribosomal RNA", at positions 547 to 795 of the family's 1533-position model. Lineage: Archaea; Methanobacteriati; Methanobacteriota; Halobacteria; Halobacteriales; Haloarculaceae. The record is from RNAcentral.